GAUGAACGCUGGCGGCGUGCCUAAUACAUGCAAGUCGAGCGAACGGACGAGAAGCUUGCUUCUCUGAUGUUAGCGGCGGACGGGUGAGUAACACGUGGAUAACCUACCUAUCAGACUGGGAUAACUUCGGGAAACCGGAGCUAAUACCGGAUAAUAUUUUGAACCGCAUGGUUCAAUAGUGAAAGACGGUUUUGCUGUCACUUAUAGAUGGAUCCGCGCCGCAUUAGCUAGUUGGUAAGGUAACGGCUUACCAAGGCAACGAUGCAUAGCCGACCUGAGAGGGUGAUCGGCCACACUGGAACUGAGACACGGUCCAGACUCCUACGGGAGGCAGCAGUAGGGAAUCUUCCGCAAUGGGCGAAAGCCUGACGGAGCAACGCCGCGUGAGUGAUGAAGGUCUUCGGAUCGUAAAACUCUGUUAUUAGGGAAGAACAAAUGUGUAAGUAACUGUGCACGUCUUGACGGUACCUAAUCAGAAAGCCACGGCUAACUACGUG
This 497-nucleotide ribosomal RNA is filed under the name uncultured bacterium. Its description in RNAcentral is "partial 16S ribosomal RNA". It matches the Rfam family "Bacterial small subunit ribosomal RNA", at positions 28 to 507 of the family's 1533-position model. The record is from RNAcentral.